AGAUCUUAUAGUUUAAUUAAAAUUUAAGACUGCAAUUCUUAAGAUGCAUAUUUGGUUUGCUAAGAU
This 66-nucleotide transfer RNA is filed under the name Triops longicaudatus. RNAcentral describes it as "tRNA-Cys". It matches the Rfam family "tRNA". From Rfam's summary of the family: Transfer RNA (tRNA) molecules are approximately 80 nucleotides in length. Their secondary structure includes four short double-helical elements and three loops (D, anti-codon, and T loops). Lineage: Eukaryota; Metazoa; Arthropoda; Branchiopoda; Notostraca; Triopsidae. The record is from RNAcentral.